RNAcentral lists this transfer RNA (74 nucleotides) under Candidatus Cardinium hertigii. RNAcentral's name for it is "tRNA-Asp". It matches the Rfam family "tRNA". From Rfam's summary of the family: Transfer RNA (tRNA) molecules are approximately 80 nucleotides in length. RNAcentral also lists the same sequence under 1 other name. The record is from RNAcentral. Lineage: Bacteria; Pseudomonadati; Bacteroidota; Cytophagia; Cytophagales; Amoebophilaceae.
GGUCUGGUAGUUCAGUUGGUUAGAAUGCCUGCCUGUCACGUAGGAGAUCGCGGGUUCGAGUCCCGUCCAGACCG